Molecule: ribosomal RNA, 446 nt
Filed under: uncultured Chloroflexota bacterium
Lineage: Bacteria; Bacillati; Chloroflexota
Description: bacterial SSU rRNA
Rfam family: Bacterial small subunit ribosomal RNA
Source: RNAcentral
ACAAGCAGCGGAGCGUGUGGUUUAAUUCGAUGCAACGCGAAGAACCUUACCAGGGUUUGACAUGCUUGAAGUAGAAACUCGAAAGAGGGACGACCUGUAUCCAGUCAGGAACUUGCACAGGUGCUGCAUGGCUGUCGUCAGCUCGUGCCGUGAGGUGUUAGGUUAAGUCCUGCAACGAGCGCAACCCUCGUCGCUAGUUAAUUUCUCUAGCGAUACUGCCCGUAUAACGAGGAGGAAGGUGGGGAUGACGUCAAGUCAGCAUGGCCCUUACAUCCUGGGCUACACACACGCUACAAUGGGUGAUACAAUAGGUUGCGAAAGAGCGAUCUGGAGCUAAUCCCAAAAAUCAUUCUCAGUUCGGAUUGUAGGCUGAAACUGCCUGCAUGAAGUUGGAGUUGCUAGUAAACGCAGGUCAGCACACUGCGUUGAAUACGUUCUCGGGUCUU